GGUUGUAUAGUGUAGUGGUUAUCACUCCGGAUUUUGAUGUUAUUGAAAUAUUCCGGCGACCCCGGUUCGAACCCGGGUACGACCU
RNAcentral lists this transfer RNA (85 nucleotides) under Exophiala aquamarina CBS 119918. It matches the Rfam family "tRNA". Rfam says of the family: Transfer RNA (tRNA) molecules are approximately 80 nucleotides in length. Their secondary structure includes four short double-helical elements and three loops (D, anti-codon, and T loops). The record is from Rfam by way of RNAcentral. Lineage: Eukaryota; Fungi; Ascomycota; Eurotiomycetes; Chaetothyriales; Herpotrichiellaceae.